Molecule: ribosomal RNA, 224 nt
Filed under: uncultured bacterium
Lineage: Bacteria
Description: partial 16S ribosomal RNA
Rfam family: Bacterial small subunit ribosomal RNA
Source: RNAcentral
UACGUAGGGGUGCAAGCGUUCGUCCGGAAUUAUUGGGCGUAAAGAGCUCGUAGGCGGUCUGUCGCGUCUGCGUCGUGAAAACUCAGGGCUUAACCCUGAGCUUGCAGUGGGGUACGGGCAGACUAGAGUGCGGUAGGGGAGAACUGGAAUUCCGUGGUGAUAGCGGUGAAAUGAGCGCAGAUAGUCAGGAGGAACACCGGCGGCGAAGGCGGGAUCUCUGGGCC